Molecule: long non-coding RNA, 1866 nt
Organism: Megalobrama amblycephala (Wuchang bream)
Lineage: Eukaryota; Metazoa; Chordata; Actinopteri; Cypriniformes; Xenocyprididae
Exons: 3
Source: RefSeq, a predicted model, not a curated record
AAACAUUCCAAUCAACUCACCUUCUGUAUGUAGGUAAGAAGGGCCUCCUUGUUAUUGGUCCACUCUGUGAAAAGCUGAGAAGCCAGUGGAUACUUGCAGCAGCUGAAUCUGAAAGUGACUUCAAAACAGUUCCCUUUGAGUUUGAUACCAUCUUCAAAGCUUUUGUUGGGAUCAACAGGACAGCCAGGAUUGUCCAUCCUCAUUAUGGGAUGGUUCUCAGUGUAGGUUUGUGCUAAAUGGCGAAAGAGAGCUUCAUCUGCUGUCAGCCUUGAGCUUGCAGAAGAACUGCUGUCAUCAAAAGGGAAGCUGGCCAUCACCGAGCCCCCAUGUAGACUACCAGACAAGACAAACCUUGAAAAGAUUACAAAGAGCCAGAAAACCUGAUUUCCAACAGUUUUGGUGCCGUGACCCGGAUAGAGCUUCUCACCUCAAUCCAGAUUGGAACUUCAAGCACAACAAAGAUCUGACCCAAAAGAAGAUCCAGGCUGAAUUGUCCUGUGCACCCAAGGGUUGGUGAGUGAUACUCUAUCCAAAAGAAGCAUUAAGACCAGUACAAAGUUGUUAUCCUCUGCGCCGUCAGAGAAGAGUUAACAGACAGCUGUAGGGUUUGGUUAACUAAGUUAUCCUCUAAAAAUGUUCUUUUACAGAUGAAGUUUAUCCUCUGUUCAGGCAGGGAAGAUUGGCAUUAAGUGCUAAUAUUGGUAACCUCUGUUCAGGCAGGGAAGAUUGGCAUCACAUGCUAAUAUUGGUUUAUCCUAUGUAAAGUUAGGAAAGUUUUAUCUUCUGCUUUAUAAGGGAAGGUUGUUUAUCCUCUGUUUAAUCAGGGAAGAUGGUGUGUUAACAAUAGUCAUCCUCUACUUUGCUAGAGAAGAAGGUUCAUCCUCUGUUAAUUCAGGGAAGGUUACAACUGUUACAGUGUGGUAGCAAGUUGGUUCUACUCUGCUCGUCAGAGACGGUUGAAUACAUUACGAUGUGUAUUAACUAGGUUAACCUCUGCUCUGUCAGGGAAGUGUUGAAGUGUAUUGUUGUGCCAGAAAGACAUUACAAAAUGUUGAGAAAGAACGCUAGACUUAUUCCAACAACUGAGAAAGGUGGACUAGCUACCCCUUUAUGGACAGAUAGUGAGUUCAAAUCAUUGUUAGGACAGAUAUACUCUAUCCAUUGCACAAGAACAAAUCUAACGAAUUGCUAAGUUAGAAGAGCAGAACAAACAGUUGCACACUAGAGUGUUUCGUCUCACUCAGAAGUUGGGCCUUAAAGCCUCAACCAAAUGUGACUCAAAAGACCAACAGUCAGAUGAAAGCUAUCCUGACAUACAGUCUUUCUGUAGACUAGAGGGCAAUAGCAAUACUGGAUUCAUGGAUAAAGAUGUAAAUGCAGUUGAAGUGUGUGGAGUGAGACAAAAGGCUCAGAGUAGGGCAAAAGGGGUUGACAGUUCCAUCUGUAACCCCCAUACUGCAGUUACAAGCAGUCAGUAUCACUAUAGGUCCUGAAGACAUAGAAAGAAUUGCUGAGAAUUUGCCAUCAGUGCAUAGAAACUUUUCUGAGUUUAGGACAGAGUUGUCCAGAAAAAUUAAGCUCUAUGAUAUGUCCCUAGCUGAAGUCACACAGCUAAUGUCACAAAUCCUGAAAGAGUCAGAAUUCAAUGAUUUUGAAAGUGCUGUAAAUAGUUCUGAAUUUCAGCAUUCCAGUAAAGGUGAAUUGAGAGAAGGAGUUCUGAGAGUGUUACAGAACCUUGUUGGACCAAAGGUGGACUGGUCAAAGAUCACUAGUUGUGUACAGAAGAAGGAUGAAACUGUAAGGGAGUACACUGAAAGAUUUUGUCAGUCAGCGGCAGCAUACAGUGGAAUAGCUGACACUCCAGAG